RNAcentral lists this ribosomal RNA (468 nucleotides) under uncultured bacterium. RNAcentral's name for it is "partial 16S ribosomal RNA". It matches the Rfam family "Bacterial small subunit ribosomal RNA", at positions 28 to 507 of the family's 1533-position model. The record is from RNAcentral.
GACGAACGCUGGCGGCGUGCUUAACACAUGCCAGUCGAACGGCAAGGCCCUGCUUUUGUGGGGUGCUCGAGUGGCGAACGGGUGAGUAACACGUGAGUAACCUGCCCUUGACUUUGGUAUAACUUCAGGAAACUGGGGCUAAUACCGGAUAGGAGCUCCUGCUGCAUGGUGGGGGUUGGAAAGUUUCGGCGGUUGGGGAUGGACGCGCGGCUUAUCAGCUUGUUGGUGGGGUAGUGGCUUACCAAGGCUUUGACGGGUAGCCGGCCUGAGAGGGUGACCGGCCACAUUGGGACUGAGAUACGGACCAGACUCCUACGGGAGGCAGCAGUGGGGAAUAUUGCACAAUGGGCGGAAGCCUGAUGCAGCAACGCCGCGUGCGGGAUGACGGCCUUCGGGUUGUAAACCGCUUUCGCCUGUGACGAAGCGUGAGUGACGGUAAUGGGUAAAGAAGCACCGGCUAACUACGUG